Molecule: long non-coding RNA, 1029 nt
Organism: Apus apus (common swift)
Lineage: Eukaryota; Metazoa; Chordata; Aves; Apodiformes; Apodidae
Exons: 6
Source: RefSeq, a predicted model, not a curated record
CGGAUUUUCUAAACUCCUUGAUACCUAUGUACCCAGUGCUCUUUCUGAAUAUUAUAGACAGUGUCUAACUGAUCUUCUGUCUUUCAGAACCAUUCCCCUUUAUCUUCUGUAACUAUACUGAGGAGCUGGAACUGGACUCAUAGCCUGUACUGGGCCAUGACAUUUUGGUUGAAAAGAGAGGUGACAAAGGAAAUCUGAGGCAGUUUAUAAAUCAGCUCAGUGUAACCCUACUUGCAGUCGUUUUCCCUGAAAGAAACUGGAUGCUGCAUACACAGCCCAGGCAACAAUUUCUUCAGAGGAGUCCUCUUUCCUCACAGGCCACAAAUCAUCCACCUCCAAGGGCUGCUGACAGCCUUUCCAGACCAGCCUGGGAAACACACAGACUGCUGUAAGAGAACCACCAAUAUGUGAUUUUGGAAAGAAAAGACGUGCUGGCUUCUGGACACUGAUUCUGACGGGAGGAAAAACACAGGAUUGUUGACAGCUUUAGAGAAGAAGGGAGGAUGAUCAACUAAGCAAAAUAGCACAAGUUCUCCUAGCACCAGGCUAGCAUAAAGGGCAUGUUGGACUUUGGAACUAAACAUCACAAAUGCAGCCAAAAAUGAGAGCAGCCAGUAAAUCAACAGGAUGCCUGAAGACUGGAUGCCCCUCAUUCUUUCCACCUGGCUUGUGGAGAUGAUUUGAGCCCUUUAUGUGGAGGACAUGAUGCAAAGCAAGGCUAUGGCAGAGGAAUCACUUGAUCAAGAAAGGAAGCGGAUAAUGGCUCACAAAUUAUUAUGGGAGUUUAUGGACCUUGGAGAUGGAAAUCCAUGCGAGUCUGGACUGACCAACUCAUUAGAGCCCUUUCAGAGGUACUUCUGUAGUGGGGUCAUUCAGCAGCUACUUUCUGAAGACAAUAAAGGGACUAACUUCAAUAACCUUCCACCAGCUGCUGCACACGCCUAUACAACGCUCAUCAGAUUUACUGUUAACUGCAUAAAGACUUGGGCUGUUCUCUCUUUGGGUGAAAACUUAUCCCUGGAAAGCCAA